Maniola jurtina (meadow brown) is the source of this 154-nucleotide long non-coding RNA. RefSeq lists it as uncharacterized. NCBI's taxonomy places the organism in Eukaryota, Metazoa, Arthropoda, Insecta, Lepidoptera, Nymphalidae. The transcript is spliced from 3 exons. The record is from RefSeq and is a predicted model, not a curated record.
AAUAAAAUUAUUAAUAUGAAUCAAAAAUAUAUUUUAUUACAGUAAGAAUUUAAAAGUAUUAUUUACAUUUACCAGUAACUGUUCAUACGUCUUUUUGGUAGUUUGUCGACACGUCAUCGGCACAGCAAUAUCUCUUUGUUGCGGUCUGUUUUCG